AACGAACGCUGGCGGCAUGCCUAACACAUGCAAGUCGAACGAGUACUUCGGGUCUAGGGGCGCACGGGUGCGUAACGCGUGGGAACCUGCCCUUAGGUUCGGAAUAACUCCCCGAAAGGGGUGCUAAUACCGGAUAAUGUCUUCGGACCAAAGAUUUAUUGCCUUUGGAUGGGCCGGCGUUGGAUUAGCUAGUUGGUAGGGUAAAAGCCUACCAAGGCGACGAUCCAUAGCUGGUCUGAGAGGAUGAUCAGCCACACUGGGACUGAGACACGGCCCAGACUCCUACGGGAGGCAGCAGUGGGGAAUAUUGGAAAAUGGGCGAAAGCCUGAUCCAGCAAUGCCGCGUGAGUGAUGAAGGCCUUAGGGUUGUAAAGCUCUUUUACCCGGGAUGAUAAUGACAGUACCGGGAGAAUAAGCUCCGGCUAACUACGUG
Molecule: ribosomal RNA, 433 nt
Filed under: uncultured bacterium
Lineage: Bacteria
Description: partial 16S ribosomal RNA
Rfam family: Bacterial small subunit ribosomal RNA
Source: RNAcentral